GGAGUAUUUGAGGAUGUGUGCCAAGCAUCUUGACCUUGUGAAGUACAUCUGUUUCCAGACAAAGUACAGUGUGAGGAAUCCUCCUGAUUUCCUUCCACUGGCCAAUGGGACGUUGUGGCGGAAGCUCAGGGCGAGCAAAGGCCAUCUGCCUUUGACGCAGGCGUGGUCUGCAGUGGUCGUCACAGUGACCUCAUUUACCACUUCAGUUUUUCCCAGGGAUUGAGAAGUUCAAAGGUCAGUAUUUUCACAGCAAGGAAUAGAAGAGUCCGGAGGGAUUUAUGGGAAGGAGAAUCCUCGUGAUUGGCUUUGGGAAUUCUGGCGCAGACCUGGCUGUGGAGCUCAGCCACGCCGCAAAGCAGAGAAUUUAGCAAGGCCUGAAAAAGAGAAGUGGGAGAAAACCAGUUACAACAAUUUUACAAAUGUGAAAGACUUCCCUGUCCAUGUACUUGCUUUCCGAGCUCUGCACACAGCACAACAAUAGCCAGAACCAGCAGCCAGAACCAGCAGCGCACCAGUGCUGACAGAACAGGUUGGCCACCACCAAGGACAUGAAGGCUGACAUUGUCUGGAAAAGAGAGGCUGUGGGGAAAAGAUAGGGCCCUCCACCAGCAGGCAAUUACUGCAAACAGGAUUUGUGGGUUUAGCCGGGUGGGGUCAAAGGAGAGCGAAAUCUCUGAGUUAGAUUUUCGACGUCAUUUCUAACAUCAAGGUGGCAGCUCCAAGGAAUGUUCAAAGAAAAGAUUGAAAGCUUCUUGUUGAAGACACUUACUCUGUCCUUGGUUUUAGUAUCAGGUAUAAUUUGAUUAUUCUAUAGGCCAAGAGAAAUUAUUUCAUAAUGUAGAAAUGAUAGAAACAAAGGAGAAAUUCACUUAUGAAACAAAUAUCUGAGUGCUUAUCAUAUGCCAGGAACUGUGGUAGUCAGAUGGGAUAAAGGUAUCAGGAACAUAAUUCCCACGCACAAGGGACUCCCAACUGAUGGUAAUUAAAUGCUUCUUAACUGAAAGAAUGAAUCUUUUUUUUUA
This is a long non-coding RNA of Diceros bicornis minor, 1022 nucleotides long. RefSeq lists it as uncharacterized. The transcript has 5 exons. NCBI's taxonomy places the organism in Eukaryota, Metazoa, Chordata, Mammalia, Perissodactyla, Rhinocerotidae. The record is from RefSeq and is a predicted model, not a curated record.